RNAcentral lists this ribosomal RNA (241 nucleotides) under uncultured Staphylococcus sp. Its description in RNAcentral is "partial 16S ribosomal RNA". It matches the Rfam family "Bacterial small subunit ribosomal RNA", at positions 99 to 334 of the family's 1533-position model. The record is from RNAcentral. Lineage: Bacteria; Bacillati; Bacillota; Bacilli; Caryophanales; Staphylococcaceae.
CGGACGGGUGAGUAACACGUGGGUAACCUACCUAUAAGACUGGGAUAACUUCGGGAAACCGGAGCUAAUACCGGAUAACAUUUGGAACCGCAUAGUUCUAAAGUGAAAGACGGUCUUGCUGUCACUUAUAGAUGGAUCCGCGCUGCAUUAGCUAGUUGGUAAGGUAACGGCUUACCAAGGCAACGAUGCAUAGCCGACCUGAGAGGGUGAUCGGCCACACUGGAACUGAGACACGGUCCAG